AGAGCGAACGCUGGCGGCAGGCCUAAUACAUGCAAGUCGAACGGAUCCUUCGGGAUUAGUGGCGGACGGGUGAGUAACACGUGGGAACGUGCCCUUUGGUUCAGAACAACUCAGGGAAACUUGAGCUAAUACUGGAUAAGCCCUUCGGGGGAAAGAUUUAUCGCCACAGGGGGGGCUCGCGGCCUAUCAGCUAGUUGGGGGGUAAUGGCCCACCAAGGCGACGACGGGUAGCU
This 233-nucleotide ribosomal RNA is filed under the name uncultured bacterium. Its description in RNAcentral is "partial small subunit ribosomal RNA". It matches the Rfam family "Bacterial small subunit ribosomal RNA", at positions 26 to 288 of the family's 1533-position model. The record is from RNAcentral.